This 1154-nucleotide long non-coding RNA is filed under the name Vitis vinifera (wine grape). Its description in RNAcentral is "long non-coding RNA (VVIN_LNC001375)". The record is from RNAcentral. Lineage: Eukaryota; Viridiplantae; Streptophyta; Magnoliopsida; Vitales; Vitaceae.
UUUGAUCACAUCAUUACACAUAUAGUACCAAAAAUUGAGUCAUUUUCUAAACUAUUUUUUUCACAAAAGAUGAUUACCACAGGUCAACUGGAUAUUUGGAGAGACACUAUCUCAGUGGUAUGAGGGCCACAGUAAACUAUCUUGGUCGAAUGAGGACCACCAAAAAUCCCUGUGGAGACUAAACUAAGAUAGCACGGUUGAGUAAUGUAAAAAGUUGGGGGAAGUGGGAGUCAUUUUCUUUACUAGAUAAGGAGGAGGAGGAGGAUAGUGUUAGGGGUUAUGACAACAAAAAAAACUGUUUCUUGUAUUGUUAUGUGAUAUGACUCUACCAUGUAGACCAGAAAAAGAUGAAAAGACUAUGUUUUUCUUUUGGGAGAGAGCCAUAUGGGAAGAUGUGGUUGGGAAUUGGGUUGGAGAUGCAUGAGUUUUAUCAUCAUACAGGUAGCUUAGAGAAAAAACAAGCCAGAAUGGGGUUGUGAGGAUGUUGACUGGGCAAGGGCACAGCUAGGGUUAGGGAUGUUUCCCUCUCCUAGGGAUGUGACCUGUCUGCAAGUCACCACCAUCCCCUAUAAAAUUUGGAAUCGUUGAUGUUGACAUCUGCAAUUCAAUUCACCCUUCCUACUCCCAGACUCUGGGUAUUCUCAACUUACAAUUCCCACUCUCCUUUGCCCUUUUUCUACAUUCAAUUACAUUAUUUAUAGUAAUCCAUUCAACUUUACUUUCAAUCUGAUUCAUCCAUACGUAUAUAUAUAUAUAUAUAUAUCCAUGUUGAUCCAAUAAUUUGACUUUACAGUAUGGACAAAUUGUUAAUGUUGAAGUUGGAUCUCCUCCCAUCUCUAUCCAAAAGGCCCCUGGAAGGCAACAUGAUUGGGGUGGGUCGCUGUUCACCUGGUUUUCCCUUGUAGCUGUUUGGAGAAUUCCUAGCCAAAAGAAAAUCGUCGGCAAGUUCCCCCUUCCAUCAGGAAAAAAAUGGACUGUCCCUUCAACUAUAUUAAGUCACACAUCCAAUGGUUUCAUGCUUGACAAGGGCGCAUGCACCUUCUGAGAUUGGAUUGAGGCAUUCAUGGAAACUUGCAAAACAGACGUUCAAGUUUCUAUUGGGGCACUGCUUCUCCCCCCUAGAUCCUCAUGAACCUAUUUUGGGUCAAUUUGUG